GACAUGCCACUGCGGCACCGAGCGGUCUAAGGCGCUGGAUUAAGGCUUCAGAGGUGUGGGUUCGAAUCCCACCGCUGUCA
Merluccius polli (Benguela hake) is the source of this 80-nucleotide non-coding RNA. The record is from the annotation of a GenBank genome assembly. Lineage: Eukaryota; Metazoa; Chordata; Actinopteri; Gadiformes; Merlucciidae.